This 219-nucleotide ribosomal RNA is filed under the name Pheidole asperithorax. RNAcentral's name for it is "partial large subunit ribosomal RNA". The record is from RNAcentral. Lineage: Eukaryota; Metazoa; Arthropoda; Insecta; Hymenoptera; Formicidae.
GAAUUUUAUAUAAAUUUUUAAUUGAAUAUAAUUUAGUAAUAUUGUUAUAAUAAAUUUAUAUUUUAUUGGGAGGAUAUUUAAAUUAAUAAAACUUUAAAUUAAUAAUUCCAUAGAUUUAUGAUUAUAGAUGAAUGGUUAUUAUUGACUUAAUUAGAAUUAAUUACCUUAGGGAUAACAGCGUAAUAUCUUUAGAGAGUUCUUAUUAAUAAGGAUGAUUGC